UAGGGAAUCUUCGGCAAUGGACGUAAGUCUGACCGAGCAACGCCGCGUGAGUGAAGAAGGUUUUCGGAUCGUAAAACUCUGUUGUUAGAGAAGAACAAGGACGUUAGUAACUGAACGUCCCCUGACGGUAUCUAACCAGAAAGCCACGGCUAACUACGUGCCAGCAGCCGCGGUAAUACGUAGGUGGCAAGCGUUGUCCGGAUUUAUUGGGCGUAAAGCGAGCGCAGGCGGUUUCUUAAGUCUGAUGUGAAAGCCCCCGGCUCAACCGGGGAGGGUCAUUGGAAACUGGGAGACUUGAGUGCAGAAGAGGAGAGUGGAAUUCCAUGUGUAGCGGUGAAAUGCGUAGAUAUAUGGAGGAACACCAGUGGCGAAGGCGGCUCUCUGGUCUGUAACUGACGCUGAGGCUCGAAAGCGUGGGGAGCAAACAGG
Molecule: ribosomal RNA, 429 nt
Filed under: Gemmatimonadota bacterium
Lineage: Bacteria; Pseudomonadati; Gemmatimonadota
Description: Gemmatimonadetes bacterium partial 16S ribosomal RNA
Rfam family: Bacterial small subunit ribosomal RNA
Source: RNAcentral